GAUGAGCAUGCGUCCCAUUAGCUAGUUGGUAAGGUAACGGCUUACCAAGGCAACGAUGGGUAGGGGUCCUGAGAGGGAGAUCCCCCACACUGGUACUGAGACACGGACCAGACUCCUACGGGAGGCAGCAGUGAGGAAUAUUGGUCAAUGGGCGCAAGCCUGAACCAGCCAUGCCGCGUGCAGGAUGAAGCAUCUAUGGUGUGUAAACUGCUUUUGUACGAGAAGAAACACUACUUCGUGAAGUAGCUUGACGGUAUCGUAAGAAUAAGGACCGGCUAACUCCGUGCCAGCAGCCGCGGUAAUACGGAGGGUCCAAGCGUUAUCCGGAAUCAUUGGGUUUAAAGGGUCCGUAGGCGGUUUUGUAAGUCAGUGGUGAAAGCCCAUCGCUCAACGGUGGAACGGCCAUUGAUACUGCAAGACUUGAAUUAUUAGGAAGUAACUAGAAUAUGUAGUGUAGCGGUGAAAUGCUUAGAUAUUACAUGGAAUACCAAUUGCGAAGGCAGGUUACUACUAAUAUAUUGACGCUGAUGGACGAAAGCGUGGGGAGCGAACA
RNAcentral lists this ribosomal RNA (553 nucleotides) under uncultured Bacteroidota bacterium. Its description in RNAcentral is "bacterial SSU rRNA". It matches the Rfam family "Bacterial small subunit ribosomal RNA", at positions 224 to 774 of the family's 1533-position model. Lineage: Bacteria; Pseudomonadati; Bacteroidota. The record is from RNAcentral.